RNAcentral lists this ribosomal RNA (290 nucleotides) under uncultured bacterium. Its description in RNAcentral is "partial 16S ribosomal RNA". It matches the Rfam family "Bacterial small subunit ribosomal RNA", at positions 62 to 353 of the family's 1533-position model. The record is from RNAcentral.
UCGAACGGCACCCCUCUCCGGAGGGAAGCGAGUGGCGAACGGCUGAGUAACACGUGGAGAACCUGCCCCCUCCCCCGGGAUAGCCGCCCGAAAGGACGGGUAAUACCGGAUACCCCCGGGCGCCGCAUGGCGCCCGGGCUAAAGCCCCGACGGGAGGGGAUGGCUCCGCGGCCCAUCAGGUAGACGGCGGGGUGACGGCCCACCGUGCCGACAACGGGUAGCCGGGUUGAGAGACCGACCGGCCAGAUUGGGACUGAGACACGGCCCAGACUCCUACGAGAGGCAGCAUG